This 427-nucleotide ribosomal RNA is filed under the name Phanerochaete aff. sordida I. RNAcentral describes it as "eukaryotic LSU rRNA". The stretch from base 27 to 180 matches the Rfam family "5.8S ribosomal RNA". Lineage: Eukaryota; Fungi; Basidiomycota; Agaricomycetes; Polyporales; Phanerochaetaceae. The record is from RNAcentral.
UCUCUGCGUAUAACGCAUUUAUAUACAACUUUCAGCAACGGAUCUCUUGGCUCUCGCAUCGAUGAAGAACGCAGCGAAAUGCGAUAAGUAAUGUGAAUUGCAGAAUUCAGUGAAUCAUCGAAUCUUUGAACGCACCUUGCGCUCCCUGGUAUUCCGGGGAGCAUGCCUGUUUGAGUGUCAUGGUAUUCUCAACCUUCAUAACUUUUGUUAUCGAAGGCUUGGAUUUGGAGGUUGUGCUGGCUUCUCGUCAAGUCGGCUCCUCUUAAAAGCAUUAGCGUGAGUGUAACGGAUCGCUUCGGUGUGAUAAUUAUCUGCGCCGUGGUCGUGAAGUAACAUAAGCUUGCGCUUCUAACCGUCCUUCAGCUGGACAAAUUUACUCUGACAUCUGACCUCAAAUCAGGUAGGACUACCCGCUGAACUUAAGCAU